AAGGAUUUAAGUUAAAAAAUAAACUUGUAGUCUUCAAAACUAUUUAUAAAGAUUGAUCUUUAAGCCUUA
This 69-nucleotide transfer RNA is filed under the name Ochthebius uniformis. RNAcentral's name for it is "tRNA-Trp". Lineage: Eukaryota; Metazoa; Arthropoda; Insecta; Coleoptera; Hydraenidae. The record is from RNAcentral.